This 1268-nucleotide long non-coding RNA is filed under the name Androctonus crassicauda. Lineage: Eukaryota; Metazoa; Arthropoda; Arachnida; Scorpiones; Buthidae. The record is from RNAcentral.
AUUUUAUAACAACUUUCCUCAGUUCUAUAAAUAUAAUAGAAUGACGAUUGCAAAAUAAAAUGACGAAAUAUUAGUAGAAUCUGAUAUGAUUUCAACGAAGGAAUAAAAUAUUUUUAUGGUUUAAUUAAAGAUAUGGAUUAAAAAUGCCAGAAUUCAUUUUUUCCUAUGUUGAAGCAUGGAUACAAAUUCAGAUAAAAUUUCGUAUGAAUUCUGCACGACGUGAGGCACUCCUGGAGGCAUCUGAUGCCCUCGUCUAUCGUUCCGACUGCCCUUCUGUGGGAGGUGCUGCUGUAGUAUUCGACCUUUCUCCUGCACGCAUCUCCUGCGACAGAGACUCUCAGUGCGCUGUUUUCUUUGGCAAGCCUUGCGUUACAUCGUCCAUAACCAAUGCUUAGGCGCGCGUGUUAAGUAAAUGCUUUGGUGUUAUGCCUGAAUGUCAUGCUGAUGUGACCAUCUCAAAAAUUUGCCCAUAAUGGAGGACUGGCUAUAAAUGCAACAGAUAUCAGCAAGAUCCAGGAGGAGAUUGCACGCGUGGCAGAGGAUGCUGACGGGGCAAGAUGAAAUAUGGAUCCAUUUUUAAGGGAUUCUUUGAUAUUGUUCAAUCUCUUAAUGCCACUAGCGAUUUAUUAUAUAUUUUUCCAGAAUAUUUGUUCAAUUAUUUCUCUUAGUUCAAACAUUUGAGUUAUUUUAUAAACUAUACACGUGGUUGUAAUAAAAUAUAAAAUUUUCAAAUUAAUUUUAAUUAUCUUUUCAUAUAGAAUGCAGGAAAACCAGUCGGCACAGUUUUUAAUACUUGCACCUAGCCAACUUAUGCAAAUAUUAUAUGAUUUGAUGGAUUUAAAAAGUGCAAUUCCCAUUUAAUGACGGUUAUACAUUUUCCUUACAUUUAAUUUUACUAUAUACAGUAUAAAUGCUAUAUAUCUCAAAACCGGCCGAAACUAAAAGUUAAAAAGAAGAAAGUAAGAUAAGAUUUUUAAGAUAAACCAGGAAGACAUGUAUGAUUGGUUUAUAUGCUCCAACGCUCCAUUAAAAAUAUUCGAUUAUGUUUAAAUAUCAGUAUGUCAUAUAUAAAGUUAUUUGGUAUCAGAAUGGUUUUCAAAAUAUUAUGAGAAUGUUACUGAUAACAGUACAAAAAUUUUACAAACACACAAUUUUAUAUAUGCUAUGCAACUGAAAGAAUUUAAAUGGAGGACACUAGUUUUUUAAAUAAUUUGUUUCAUUGUAUUCAUUGCUACAAUUAUACAUAUGGGAAGAUGUAUAGUGAAGGC